CAAAUGAAUAGACGGGGACUCACACAAGCGGUGGAUCACGUGGCUUAAUUCGACGAUAAGCGAGGAACCUUACCAAGGCUUGAAACUCUAAUGAAAUCCUUCCGAAAGGAAGGCCCUCCGAAAGGACAUUAGAGCAGGUGCUGCAUGGUUGUCGUCAGCAGGUGGCUUGAGUUGCUCCCUUAAAUGGGGAAACCUGCGCAACCCUUACCCUAUGUUUUAAAUGUCAUGGGGGACUGCCUAGGACAACUAGGAGGAAGGUGAGGAUGACGCCAAAUCAGCAUGGCCCUUUGAU
Molecule: ribosomal RNA, 292 nt
Filed under: uncultured eukaryote
Lineage: Eukaryota
Description: partial 18S ribosomal RNA
Rfam family: Bacterial small subunit ribosomal RNA
Source: RNAcentral